RNAcentral lists this ribosomal RNA (492 nucleotides) under uncultured bacterium. Its description in RNAcentral is "partial 16S ribosomal RNA". It matches the Rfam family "Bacterial small subunit ribosomal RNA", at positions 29 to 507 of the family's 1533-position model. The record is from RNAcentral.
AUUGAACGCUGGCGGCAUGCUUUACACAUGCGAGUCGAACGGUAACAGGCCUUCGGGUGCUGACGAGUGGCGAACGGGUGAGUAAUGCAUCGGAACGUACCCAGAGGUGGGGGAUAACGCAGCGAAAGCUGUGCUAAUACCGCAUGUGAUCUGAGGAUGAAAGCGGGGGACCGAGCAGCAAUGUUUGGCCUCGCGCCUUUGGAGCGGCCGAUGUCGGAUUAGCUAGUUGGUGGGGUAAAGGCCUACCAAGGCGACGAUCCGUAGCUGGUCUGAGAGGACGACCAGCCACACUGGGACUGAGACACGGCGCAGACUCCUACGGGAGGCAGCAGUGGGGAAUUUUGGACAAUGGGCGCAAGCCUGAUCCAGCAAUGCCGCGUGCGGGAAGAAGGCCUUCGGGUUGUAAACCGCUUUUGGCAGGAACGAAACGGUGUCCGCUAAUACCGGGCGCUAAUGACGGUACCUGCAGAAUAAGCACCGGCUAACUACGUG